GGACGUGUAGCACAGCGGGUUGGUGCAGCGGCCUGAUAAGCCGAAGGUCGGAGGUUCGAGCCCUCCCACGUCCA
Molecule: transfer RNA, 74 nt
Filed under: Myxococcales bacterium
Lineage: Bacteria; Pseudomonadati; Myxococcota; Myxococcia; Myxococcales
Description: tRNA-Ile
Rfam family: tRNA
About the family: Transfer RNA (tRNA) molecules are approximately 80 nucleotides in length.
Source: RNAcentral